UCCGUAGGGUGCAAGCGUUAAUCGGAAUUACUGGGCGUAAAGCGUGCGCAGGCGGCUUUGCAAGACAGAUGUGAAAUCCCCGGGCUUAACCUGGGAACUGCAUUUGUGACUGCAUGGCUGGAGUGCGGCAGAGGGGGAUGGAAUUCCGCGUGUAGCAGUGAAAUGCGUAGAUAUGCGGAGGAACACCGAUGGCGAAGGCAAUCCCCUGGGCCUGCACUGACGCUCAUGCACGAAAGCGUGGGGAGCAAACAGG
RNAcentral lists this ribosomal RNA (253 nucleotides) under uncultured bacterium. Its description in RNAcentral is "partial 16S ribosomal RNA". It matches the Rfam family "Bacterial small subunit ribosomal RNA", at positions 524 to 776 of the family's 1533-position model. The record is from RNAcentral.